CAGUCGCCGCGGGAAUACGUAGGGUGCAAGCGUUAAUCGGAAUUACUGGGCGUAAAGCGUGCGCAGGCGGUUUGUUAAGACAGAUGUGAAAUCCCCGGGCUCAACCUGGGAACUGCAUUUGUGACUGGCAAGCUAGGGUAUGGCAGAGGGGGGUGGAAUUCCGCGUGUAGCAGUGAAAUGCGUAGAUAUGCGGAGGAACACCGAUGGCGAAGGCAGCCCCCUGGGCCAAUACUGACGCUCAUGCACGAAAGCGUGGGGAGCAAACAGGAUUAGAGACCCGAGUAGUCCCUGUCUCUUAUAC
RNAcentral lists this ribosomal RNA (301 nucleotides) under uncultured bacterium. RNAcentral's name for it is "partial 16S ribosomal RNA". It matches the Rfam family "Bacterial small subunit ribosomal RNA", at positions 509 to 807 of the family's 1533-position model. The record is from RNAcentral.